RNAcentral lists this long non-coding RNA (277 nucleotides) under Gossypium barbadense (sea-island cotton). RNAcentral describes it as "long non-coding RNA (GBAR_LNC001394)". Lineage: Eukaryota; Viridiplantae; Streptophyta; Magnoliopsida; Malvales; Malvaceae. The record is from RNAcentral.
UGGACUGUUUAAAUAAAUAAACAUUCCUUUAUUUUUUAUUAUUUGUUUAAGGCCCGGGCAAUUUAGGUUAUUACAGCUGCCCCUCUUUGCUCAUUGCUGUGUAAUAGGAAUCGAGCAAAGACUAUAUAAAGGACCAAAUUUGCCUAGUCUGGCCCAGUCUUCAAAUGGUCUUCAACCUAUCUGUAACUUCAGAGGUAUUGGACCAUAAAUGUGAUAGCUUCAAUUUGCUUCACUUGUAACUUCAGGAAGGCAAUAUCUGCUAUCUUCAACCUGCUCC